AUCGAACGCUGGCGGCAGGCCUAACACAUGCAAGUCGAACGAGUGGCGGACGGGUGAGCAAUGUCUUGGCAACUGCCUGAUGUAGGGGGCUAACUACUGGAACCGGUAGCUAAUACCGCAUACCCUCGGCUCUGCCCAGAGGGGAUUAGCUAGUAGGUGGGGUAAAGGCUCACCUAGGCGACGAUGCCUAGCUGGUCUGAGAGGAUGACCAGCCACACUGGAACUGAGACACGGUCCAGACUCCUACGGGAGGCAGCAGUGGGGAAUAUUGGGCAAUGGGCGAAAGCCUGAUGCAGCCAUGCCGCGUGAGUGAAGAAGGCCUUCGGGUUGUAAAGCACUGUUGGCAGAGAAGCGUUACCUAAACAAAAAGCAACGGCUAACUCCGUGCCAGCAGCCGCGGUAAUAC
This 406-nucleotide ribosomal RNA is filed under the name uncultured bacterium. Its description in RNAcentral is "partial 16S ribosomal RNA". It matches the Rfam family "Bacterial small subunit ribosomal RNA", at positions 30 to 526 of the family's 1533-position model. The record is from RNAcentral.